This 452-nucleotide ribosomal RNA is filed under the name uncultured Thermoanaerobacter sp. RNAcentral's name for it is "bacterial SSU rRNA". It matches the Rfam family "Bacterial small subunit ribosomal RNA", at positions 948 to 1382 of the family's 1533-position model. The record is from RNAcentral. Lineage: Bacteria; Bacillati; Bacillota; Clostridia; Thermoanaerobacterales; Thermoanaerobacteraceae.
AAUUCGAAGCAACGCGAAGAACCUUACCAGGGCUUGACAUGCAGGUAGUAGCGAGCCGAAAGGUGAGCGACCCUUACCUUAAAGGUGAGGAGCCCUGGCACAGGUGGUGCAUGGUUGUCGUCAGCUCGUGUCGUGAGAUGUUGGGUUAAGUCCCGGCAACCGAGCGCAACCCCUGCCUCUAGUUGCCAGCGGGUGAAGCCGGGCACUCUAGAGGGACUGCCGUGGACAACACGGAGGAAGUGGGGAUGACGUCAAAUCAUCAUGCCCUAUAUUGCCCUGGGCCACACACGUGCCACAAUGGCCGGUACAGAGGGAAGCGAAGCCGCGAGGUGGAGCGAAACCCAAAAAGCCGGUCCAAAGUUCGGAUUGCAGGCUGCAACUCGCCUGCAUGAAGUCGGAAUCGCUAGUAAUCGCGGAUCAGCAUGCCGCGGUGAAUACGUUCCCGGGUCCUU